AUUCUUGUACACAUAUCCUUUUUUAUCUUUAUCUUGUUGGAAUAUAUUCUUCUGUCAUCAUAUUUGACAAGUUGGGUGGGAAUAUCUUAUCAGAAACCCCUUCUGAGUCAUCCUAGCAACUUCUAGGUAAAGAAGAAGGUAUAUGGUUCCAGCGCUGUGUAGAUUAUAGUGACUUUGUGUUUUGUAUAAAGAUCUCAUUAUUACAAAUGUGAAAGAUAAAUCAUUUUGUUUGGCUGUGGGUGAUAAACUAUAGAAAGUGUGUAUGUUUUCACAAAAUCUAAAUACUUUUUCAAAAGGCAAUCGCACCUUAGAAUAAUAAUUACUUACUUUGCAUAGGAAAGGUCAAGUGUUGAUUAGUAAUACAAAAUUGUUUAAUCUUUAUGUUUGUGGCUUUGUUGACUAAUGGAGUCAUGAAUGAGUCACGAGAGGGGCUCAUUUUUGUCAUUUAGCGGAGCCUUUGUGAAUAGAAAAUAGAAUUCGAUUAAGUGACAGCCCACCUCGAGCUAUCCGCCCAAUUGAUAUACGUGUCAUUAUGCAAUUGGUUUAUAGUUAUCUAUCUUUAGCGUGGCUGCCAAUCUAGUAAUGUUGUUACUUGUUUUGCUCGACCAAAGAUAAUGUCAAAAUAUUUGUUCAAAACAAAUAAAACAAGUUUCCUAGUGGCUACCUAACAAAUAAAUAAACAAAUAAAUGUAUUUAAAAAUUGUAGAUUUGUUGCUUUUAUUUAUAGCUGUGGUCAGGAAUCACGCAACCUAUCGUUGAAAAAUAGAACAAAAAAUGAACGGCUCAGGAGAGCUUCGCCUUAUUUUUAACGCGAAACGUUUCUUUAAGGCUAAAGGGUAAACACGUAAUUUACAUGGCGCAAUUAGACCUUAUAUAAACGAAUGUUUCUACGUUGGCUUUCUCUUCACGAACGCCUCCGCUCAUAAUUACCAAAUCAUCUUCCUCCUCUCAAAUUAGGGUUUUCUUAUUUGAUCAAAAGUCUUGCUCUUCCCCACCCCCAAAUCAUCUGGAUCUGGUUUUGAUAUCUGUUGAAAGGAGGGAUUCAUAAUUCGUGGUGUCUUAUCUAAAAUUCAUAAAAUA
Molecule: RNA transcript, 1080 nt
Organism: Raphanus sativus (radish)
Lineage: Eukaryota; Viridiplantae; Streptophyta; Magnoliopsida; Brassicales; Brassicaceae
Exons: 2
Source: RefSeq, a predicted model, not a curated record